This 433-nucleotide ribosomal RNA is filed under the name uncultured bacterium. Its description in RNAcentral is "partial 16S ribosomal RNA". It matches the Rfam family "Bacterial small subunit ribosomal RNA", at positions 29 to 507 of the family's 1533-position model. The record is from RNAcentral.
AACGAACGCUGGCGGCAUGCCUAACACAUGCAAGUCGAACGAGACCUUCGGGUCUAGUGGCGCACGGGUGCGUAACGCGUGGGAACCUGCCUUUAGGUUCGGAAUAACUCAGAGAAAUUUGAGCUAAUACCGGAUGAUGUCUUCGGACCAAAGAUUUAUCGCCUUUAGAUGGGCCCGCGUUGGAUUAGCUAGUUGGUGGGGUAAAGGCCUACCAAGGCGACGAUCCAUAGCUGGUCUGAGAGGAUGAUCAGCCACACUGGGACUGAGACACGGCCCAGACUCCUACGGGAGGCGGCAGUGGGGAAUAUUGGACAAUGGGCGAAAGCCUGAUCCAGCAAUGCCGCGUGAGUGAUGAAGGCCUUAGGGUUGUAAAGCUCUUUUACCCGAGAUGAUAAUGACAGUAUCGGGAGAAUAAGCGCCGGCUAACUCCGUG